UAACCUGUGUGGAUGACGGUACCGGAAGAAGAAGCACCGGCUAACUACGUGCCAGCAGCCGCGGUAAUACGUAGGGUGCGAGCGUUAAUCGGAAUUACUGGGCGUAAAGCGUGCGCAGGCGGUUUUGUAAUACAGAUGUGAAAUCCCCGGGCUUAACCUGGGAACUGCAUUUGUGACUGCAAGGCUAGAGUACGGCAGAGGGGGUAGAAUUCCACGUGUAGCAGUGAAAUGCGUAGAUAUGUGGAGGAAUACCGAUGGCGAAGGCAGCCCCCUGGGUCGAUACUGACGCUCAUGCACGAAAGCGUGGGGAGCAAACAGGAUUAGAUACCCUGGUAGUCCACGCCCUAAACGAUGUCAACUAGGUGUUGGGGGGGGAGACUUCCUUAGUACCGCAGCUAACGCGUGAAGUUGACCGCCUGGGGAGUACGGUCGCAAGAUU
RNAcentral lists this ribosomal RNA (439 nucleotides) under uncultured bacterium. Its description in RNAcentral is "bacterial SSU rRNA". It matches the Rfam family "Bacterial small subunit ribosomal RNA", at positions 457 to 895 of the family's 1533-position model. The record is from RNAcentral.